CGGAGGGUGCAAGCGUUAUCCGGAUUCACUGGGUUUAAAGGGUGUGUAGGCGGGUAUUUAAGUCAGUGGUGAAAUCUCCAGGCUCAACCUGGAAACUGCCAUUGAUACUAUUUAUCUUGAAUAUCGUUGAGGUUGGCGGAAUAUAUCAUGUAGCGGUGAAAUGCAUAGAUAUGAUAUAGAACACCGUUUGCGAAGGCAGCUAACUAAGCGAUUAUUGACGCUGAGGCACGAAAGCGUGGGGAUCAAACAGGAUUAGAUACCCUGGUAGUCCACGCCCUAAACUAUGAUUACUCGACAUACGCGAUACACAGUGUGUGUCUGAGCGAAAGCAUUAAGUAAUCCACCUGGGAAGUACGUCCGCAAGGAUG
RNAcentral lists this ribosomal RNA (368 nucleotides) under uncultured organism. RNAcentral's name for it is "bacterial SSU rRNA". It matches the Rfam family "Bacterial small subunit ribosomal RNA", at positions 526 to 896 of the family's 1533-position model. The record is from RNAcentral.